Molecule: ribosomal RNA, 455 nt
Filed under: uncultured organism
Description: partial 16S ribosomal RNA
Rfam family: Bacterial small subunit ribosomal RNA
Source: RNAcentral
ACACUCCUACGGGAGGCAGCAGUGGGGAAUUUUACGCAAUGGGGGAAACCCUGACGUAGCGACACCGCGUGAGCGAAGAAGCCCUUUGGGGUGUAAAGCUCUGUCAGCUGGAACGAAAACAAUGACGGUACCAGCAGAGGAAGCAUCGGCUAACUACGUGCCAGCAGCCGCGGUAAGACGUAGGAUGCGAGCGUUGUCCGGAUUUAUUGGGCGUAAAGAGUUCGUAGGUGGUUUGUUAAGUUUGGUGUUAAAGAUCGGGGCUCAACCCUGGGACUGCACUGAAUACUGGCAGACUCGAGUGUGGUAGAGGCUAGUGGAAUUCCCAGUGUAGCGGUGAAAUGCGUAGAUAUUGGGAAGAACACCGGUGGCGUAGGCGACUAGCUGGGCCAUAACUGACGCUGAGGAACGAAAGCCAGGGGAGCGAAUGGGAUUAGAAACCCCUGUAGUCCCAUGAU